CCUACGGGGGGCUGCAGUGGGGAAUAUUGGACAAUGGGGGGAACCCUGAUCCAGCCAUGCCGCGUGUGUGAAGAAGGCCCUCGGGUUGUAAAGCACUUUCAGUGAGGAAGAACGCCUGGUGGUUAAUACCCAUCAGGAAAGACAUCACUCACAGAAGAAGCACCGGCUAACUCCGUGCCAGCAGCCGCGGUAAUACGGAGGGUGCGAGCGUUAAUCGGAAUUACUGGGCGUAAAGCGCGCGUAGGUGGCUUGAUAAGCCGGUUGUGAAAGCCCCGGGCUCAACCUGGGAACGGCAUCCGGAACUGUCAAGCUAGAGUGCAGGAGAGGAAGGUGGAAUUCCCGGUGUAGCGGUGAAAUGCGUAGAGAUCGGGAGGAAUACCAGUGGCGAAGGCGGCCUUCUGGACUGACACUGACACUGAGGUGCGAAAGCGUGGGUAGCAAACAGGAUUAGAUACCCGUGUAGUC
This 465-nucleotide ribosomal RNA is filed under the name Vreelandella stevensii. Its description in RNAcentral is "partial 16S ribosomal RNA". It matches the Rfam family "Bacterial small subunit ribosomal RNA", at positions 338 to 795 of the family's 1533-position model. Lineage: Bacteria; Pseudomonadati; Pseudomonadota; Gammaproteobacteria; Oceanospirillales; Halomonadaceae. The record is from RNAcentral.